GAUCUGGCAGGGGUUAAAUACAUCCAUAUAGCCUCAAGGGCUAUAUGUGAUGUAUUUUAGCCAUAAAAAAGGUAUUAUACAUUGCUGCCCAGGGCGCCCCCCCCCAGCGCCCUGCACCCUCAGUGACAGUUGGUGACUGUUGGUGAAGUGUGCUGACAACAAUGGCGCACAGCUGCAGUGCUGUGCGCUACCUUAUGAAGACUGAAAGUCUUCUGCCGCCUGUUUCUGGACCUCUUCAACUUCGGCAUCUGUAAGGGGGGUCGGCGGCACGGCUCCGGGACGAACCCCAGGGUGAGACCUGUGUUCCGACUCCCUCUGGAGCUAAUGGUGUCCAGUAGCCUAAGAAGCAAAUCCAUCCUGCACGCAGGGUGCACAGGUUACCAUAUCGCUGGAGAGCUGGAGUCUGGACACCAAGGAUUUACCAUAUGUGAAACACCUACGUAAAAAAAAUGACUUACCAUAGCUGGAUAAAACAGGAUGAAUACUGCAGAGCCAAGAAAACCAGUGGGACCCAAAAUAUAGACAUUGUACACCAUGCCAAGUACUGCAACAAUCGGCCCUCCUGCCAGUAGACUGCCCACAGCUGCAGCUUCAAACAUCCGCUGUCCAUCAUUGGAGCAAACAUUUAUAAGCUGGAAAUAAUAUUAAGAUAUGUAAUAUUAAGUCAUACGCCAUGCAGUUUAGCAGUUAUAUAAAAUGAUGUCUUCGCAAUUAAGCAGGAAUAUAUAAGAAGUCUAUAUUGGCGAGUUGCUUGCAGACUUUCCUGAACUUGCUUCUGUAUUUUUUAAUUUCACUCAAGCUGCAUAAAUUUAGAAACAGUCUGAGA
Long non-coding RNA from Pseudophryne corroboree (corroboree frog), 826 nucleotides. RefSeq lists it as uncharacterized. The transcript is spliced from 3 exons. Lineage: Eukaryota; Metazoa; Chordata; Amphibia; Anura; Myobatrachidae. The record is from RefSeq and is a predicted model, not a curated record.